GACGAACGCUGGCGGCGUGCUUAACACAUGCAAGUCGAACGGUAAGGCCCUUCGGGGUGCACGAGUGGCGAACGGGUGAGUAACACGUGGGUGAUCUGCCCUGCACUUCGGGAUAAGCCUGGGAAACUGGGUCUAAUACCGGAUAGGACCCUGGGAUGCAUGUCCUGGGGUGGAAAGCUUUUGCGGUGUGGGAUGGGCCCGCGGCCUAUCAGCUUGUUGGUGGGGUGAUGGCCUACCAAGGCGACGACGGGUAGCCGGCCUGAGAGGGUGACCGGCCACACUGGGACUGAGAUCCGGCCCAGACUCCUACGGGAGGCAGCAGUGGGGAAUAUUGCACAAUGGGCGCAAGCCUGAUGCAGCGACGCCGCGUGAGGGAUGACGGCCUUCGGGUUGUAAACCUCUUUCAGCACCGACGAAGCGCAAGUGACGGUAGGUGCAGAAGAAGGACCGGCCAACUACGUGCCAGCAGCCGCCGUAA
RNAcentral lists this ribosomal RNA (478 nucleotides) under uncultured bacterium. RNAcentral's name for it is "partial 16S ribosomal RNA". It matches the Rfam family "Bacterial small subunit ribosomal RNA", at positions 28 to 523 of the family's 1533-position model. The record is from RNAcentral.